RNAcentral lists this ribosomal RNA (459 nucleotides) under uncultured bacterium. RNAcentral describes it as "partial 16S ribosomal RNA". It matches the Rfam family "Bacterial small subunit ribosomal RNA", at positions 338 to 795 of the family's 1533-position model. The record is from RNAcentral.
CCUACGGGUGGCAGCAGUGAGGAAUAUUGGUCAAUGGACGCGAGUCUGACCCAGCCAAGUAGCGUGAAGGAUGACUGCCCUAUGGGUUGUAAACUUCUUUUAUAUGGGAAUAAAACGUUCCACGUGUGGGAUUUUGUAUGUACCAUAUGAAUCCGGAUCGGCUCACUCCGUGCCAGCAGCCGCGGUAAUACGGGGGAUGCGAGCGUUAUCCGGUUUUAUUGGGUUAAAAGGGUGCGUAGGCGGAUUUUUAAGUCAGCGGUAAAAUGUCCGGGCUCAACCCGGGCCGGCCGUUGAAACUGGGGAUCUUGAGUGGACGAGAAGUAUGCGGAAUGCGUGGUGUAGCGGUGAAAUGCAUAGAUAUCUCGAAGAACCCCGAUUGCGAAGGCAGCAUACCGGCGCCCGACUGACGCUGAGGCACGAAAGCGUGGGUAUCGAACAGGAUUAGAUACCCGAGUAGUC